ACCGUAGUUUCAUGAGAGAGAGAAAGAAACAAUAGUGAGAGUAAGAAUGAAUGCUCUGAAAUUAAAGAGACUGUAAUAGAGAGAGAAAGUGACUUUACGAGAGUGUCUGCGACGAGAAGCAAAGAACGAAACAAUAAAAUGUCGUUCACCAAAUUGCACGAACCUCUCAUUUCCUAAGCAUUUUCGCCGCUGCGUUUUACUUUAACCGUCAUCGUUUUCGUUUCCGACACUCGGAAGCAGGAACGGGAUGAGUCGUUUAGUGUUAAAAAACAACGUCUACGACGGCGACAAGCUCGUCGGCGAACUCGACGUCAUUCCGAUGACGCCGUUUCAGGACUUCCGGUUUCCGAACAACGAGAUUCGAAUCCACCACUUCAGUGCCAAAAGCGAGCGUUGCCCUCCGCUCUCGGUUCUCCAAACCAUUGCCGCAUUCAACGUUCGCUGCAAGCUCGAUUCCUCGGUUACCGUUGAUUCGGACCUAACUACCAUCCACGCUAAUUGCUUCUACGAUAUGAAGACGGCGGUGGUGGUGAUUGGCGACGAGGAGAUUCACCUGGUGUCGAUGCCGAGCAAGAGGAAGAAGUUUCCGUGCUUCUGGGGCUUCGCGGUUCCGGUUGGACUCUACGAUGCGUGCUUGGGUUUGCUGAACUUGAGGUGUCUGGGGAUUGUGUUCGAUUUGGAUGAAACUCUAGUCGUUGCGAACACGAUGAAGUCGUUUGAAGAUAGGAUUGAGGCCUUGCGCGUUUGGAUUUCGCGCGAGACCGAUCCGUUGAGGGUUCAGGGUAUGUCUGCUGAGCUUAAGCGUUACCUUGAGGAUCGGUUGUUGCUAAAGCAAUAUGCAGAAAGCGAUUGUGUUGUUGAUAAUGGGAAGAUAUAUAAGGUUCAGAUGGAGGAGGUGCCGCCUAUGUCCGAUGGCCACGAGAAAUUGGUUCGCCCUGUGGUUAGGUUGCAAGACAAGAAUAUAGUCCUAACUCGCAUCAAUCGUGAGAUUCGUGAUACUAGUGUAUUAGUGAGAUUACGGCCUGCUUGGGAGGAUUUAAGAUGCUAUUUAACUGCAAAAGGACGCAAGCGUUUUGAAGUAUAUGUUUGUACUAUGGCUGAAAGGGAUUAUGCUUUGGAAAUGUGGAGGCUUCUUGACCCUGAGGCUCAUCUUAUAGGUUCAAAGCAAAUCCUUCAUCGUGUGAUUUGUGUCAAAUCAGGUUCCCGAAAAUGUUUACUAAAUGUUUUCAAAGAUGGUAUGUGCCAUCCGAAGAUGGCAAUGGUGAUUGAUGACCGGUCAAAGGUUUGGGAAGACAAGGACCAGCCUAGGGUUCAUGUUGUACCUGCCUUUACUCCUUAUUAUGCUCCUCAAGCAGAGACGGCCAAUGCUGUACCAGUUCUAUGUGUAGCAAGAAAUGUUGCAUGCAAUGUCAGAGGUUGUUUUUUCAAAGAGUUUGAUGAGAAUUUAUUACAAAGAAUUGCUGAAAUCUUCUUUGAAGAUGAGAUUGGAAUUUUACCUCACCCCCCGGAUGUGAGCAACUACUUGAUGUCAGAGGAUAUGCCAAAUGGUAAUGUGAAUGCCCCUAUUAGUGAAGGAAUGAAUGGUGCAGAAGUUGAGCGGAGGUUAAACCAACCUGAUGAUAAAUUUUCGGUUGAUGUAGUUACCCGACCUGUGGCAAGCAAUGUUGAGUUCAGACAUGAAACCUCUCCACCAACUUCUGGUAUAAUAUCAAAUGUCACUGGCCCUGGAUCUUCAAGAACACUGACUCCUUCUCAGAAACCUAGUUUGCUUGGACCUCCGAUCAAGCAUGAUGGAAGCUCUGUUGAUCGCGAUUAUGACAUGAAAAAGGGACUUUUAAGCAUGAGGCAUAGUCCGGACAUAAGAGGUCAAAGUUCAGCUGAACCCCCUUUGAUAUCAAAGCCGCCCAUUCAGACGUCACCAUCUAUAAUGCAGCCUUUAGGAGGUGGGUUGGUAGAAGAUGAAACAAGCAACAGAACUCAGACAAAUAAUUGGCCUUCUGCAUCUGCUAAAGAAUCUAAUGUAAUAAAGUCUGAUAAGCAUCAGGCUCAACAGAAAUCGUUUUCUCAUAGUGGCAUAGUUUCACCCCCAAAUGUUGUACUCCCGCAAGCUUCACAACUCAAGCCUGAAGAGGCAACUUCUGUUUCUGAUUUACAGAGGCUGAAUGCUCCAUCCAAGUCUCAACCAUCAGAGGAUGGGAUAUCUCAGAAUCAUGCAUCUUCUAAUAGCAAAGAUUUUCAAAAUGAAGCUGGAAAAUUGAACUUCUUACACCCUCUAUCUAUUCAAGUGCUGCAAGAAAUUGCAAGGCGGUGUAACUGUAAGGUUGAAUUUAAGUCCAUUUUAAGCACCAGCAAAGACUUGCAGUUUUCAGUGGAGGUACUAUUCACUGGUGAGAAAAUAGGUGUUGGUAUGGGUAGGACAAGGAAGGAUGCUCAACAACAAGCUGCUGAGAAUGCGCUUCGCAGCUUAGCAGAGAAGUAUGUGGCUCAUGUGGAGCCUCAGUGUAGAGCUGUUGAUAGAGAAUUUGACAAGCUUUCUCUUGGACCUGACAAUGGUUUCUUGUGGGAUGUGAUAAAUCCAGAAUCCAGUGAACUGCAAAGAGAAGAUGGAUUGCCUAGAGAAAAUGCUUCUGAGGUGGGGUAUUUUUUUAUGCUUUUGGUAGUUGAUUUGACUUAUUUGUUUAAGGAAAUAGGUGAUGCUUGGAUAAGGGGUAUGUGGACUAGGAAGUCCACGAGGCCUAGUGGUUGUAUAGAGAAAUCACAUCGUUUAUGGAAUUGUGUAGCAUCAAUGUGAAGGCUAAAUCACUGAAUGGGGAGUGAACUGGCUUCACGUCUGCUACUGCUGUCUUAGACAGGCUUCUUAAAUUCCUGCUUAAAAGGCUUCUGUUGCUGAGACUAGGUCAUCUACACCUAAUCCCAUUAAUCAGCAAAUGGAUAAGCGUAUCAGCUCCCAGAGAAUGCCUCGUUGUAAUCCAAGUAAACGACUGAAGGAGUGAAAACGUUGCAAGAUAGACUAUAUUUACCAACAGUGCAGCAACUGGAGAAUGGUCCAUUUUAAUUCUUGGGACGGGAUAUAAUCAUUCUGGUCACAGAAGGUUUCGAUGUAAUUUGGUCGUGUAAUAUCUCUCCCAUAGCGAUUAUAGAUUGCCGAGGUAAUUUUCCUUGGCUAAAUUGUUAUAGAGAAGGGCAUUUUUUUUAAUUUUGCCCUACCAUUUUCCUACUUACUUUUAGGAUGUUUGUCUAGCCUCAUUGUCAAUGUUAUAUUAGUUUGAAUAUUAAUUAUAAGAAAACCAUUUGUCCUUUGUAAUUAAUCCGCUUCUGGCGUUUUGGUGGUCGGAUUUGUUGGGGUUAGCUGGUCCCUUCUGAUUGACUGAUUUGAGAUUAUCAAUGUCGAAACAUCGGGUGUCAAUUUC
Abrus precatorius (Indian licorice) is the source of this 3410-nucleotide RNA transcript. It is a transcript of the gene named RNA polymerase II C-terminal domain phosphatase-like 2, with no coding region annotated. The record is from RefSeq and is a predicted model, not a curated record. NCBI's taxonomy places the organism in Eukaryota, Viridiplantae, Streptophyta, Magnoliopsida, Fabales, Fabaceae. The transcript is spliced from 16 exons.